Molecule: long non-coding RNA, 230 nt
Organism: Pseudophryne corroboree (corroboree frog)
Lineage: Eukaryota; Metazoa; Chordata; Amphibia; Anura; Myobatrachidae
Exons: 3
Source: RefSeq, a predicted model, not a curated record
AUUAAAUACUACAAAACUAUGGAAGUUAAUUAUACAUAAUAAUUCUUAGUAAAAUAUGGAUUAUAAUUUUGUGAAAAUACAGCUGUUUCAAACUAAUUAAUUGCCUUUUCAUAAAAAACACUCCUGAAGAAGUCGACAUACGACGAAACGCGUUGAGUGUAAAAAUCUUUUAUUGUUUGGAAAAGUUGUUAUUCAAUUUUUUGGCUGUAAUGAACAAUAACACAUUGUAA